This 39-nucleotide ribosomal RNA is filed under the name Colleteria seminervis. RNAcentral's name for it is "partial 5.8S ribosomal RNA". Lineage: Eukaryota; Viridiplantae; Streptophyta; Magnoliopsida; Gentianales; Rubiaceae. The record is from RNAcentral.
AAAACGACUCUCGGCAACGGAUAUCUCGGCUCUCGCAUC